Molecule: long non-coding RNA, 139 nt
Organism: Vitis riparia (riverbank grape)
Lineage: Eukaryota; Viridiplantae; Streptophyta; Magnoliopsida; Vitales; Vitaceae
Exons: 2
Source: RefSeq, a predicted model, not a curated record
CUAGGAAUUUCUGCAUCGGUUCUCUAAUUGAUUGCAUCAGAAGCUGCUUUUAGUGCAGGUGGAAGAGUAGUUAGUAAAAAACGAUGCAACUUAGCGCCAGAUGUUAUUGAAGUAGGGAUAUGUGUAAAAGAUUGGGAAA